GACGACUGCGAGCGUGGACCUGCCUUGG
RNAcentral lists this small RNA (28 nucleotides) under Bombyx mori (domestic silkworm). RNAcentral's name for it is "ovarian small RNA-15545". Lineage: Eukaryota; Metazoa; Arthropoda; Insecta; Lepidoptera; Bombycidae. The record is from RNAcentral.